GAAAGCCAGCAAAACAUAAAUUCAAUGAAAACAAAAUGAAGUCAAUGAACUUUAGCUAGAUACUAUUCCCUGACCAAGGCCUGCUGGAGGCCGUACAACCGGGGUUUGAAUUGAGAUCUGCCAAGCUUCUGAGUUUAUUCUGUUUCCCCCACACCAAGGAUCCUCAAUACUGCAUUACUGACAUCAGGGGCCAGACAAUUCUUUGCGAUGGGGGCUGUCCUGCACCUGGCAGGAUGUUUAGCAGCUUCUCUGGCCUCCACCCACUGGAAGCCAGGGGAAUGCAGAAGAGGCUUGCUUAUUCUCCCAUUUAAUGCUCAGGACAAUAUCUGACAUCAAUGUUACGUCUUUUAUUUUAUAAAUGAAGACAAUGAGACUCAGAAAGGUUUAAGUGAGUCACCUAAGAACACACAGACAGCAAGAGGUAGAACCCGAAACUGAACACAGGUGUCCACGAGACAACAAAAAAGUUCAGGUUCCAGCUUCCUUUGAGUCUCUCAUUUCAACAAUGGCCAUCGUCUGCAUACGAGCUGAAGUACAGGAAAGCUGGGCUGAACUCUCUUCCCAUCAGGCCUAGGAGCCCCAGACCAGAACCCCAGCCCAAGUUCUCCCAGUCAGGCCCGCUGGCGUGAGCUGGCAUCUACACUAGCAUGGUUUCCCAAAGCUGCAGGGAUGCCAGUCUCGCCGCUGAUGAAGGAAAUGAAGGGCAUUUGCUUCUCCUGCAGGCUCUCGGGAUUUAACACAGAUUCCUUUUCUUGCUCUCUUCUCCCAUAGCACAAAACUGGGUGGUCCAUCCCCCUCCCAGUGUCCCAAGGCUUUGUUGCGUGUUCUCUUUAAUUUCUCCCACUCUCGCAGUGCACCCUACCCUCGUCUCCCUGGCAACCUUUCUGCUCUAUCCUCUCGCCACCUGGAUCACAAGAACACUUGUGAGACCCCUUAACAAGCUACAUCCCAAAUUAUCAUUCCCCUUUGUCCUCAGCCAGUGCCCGGGUCCAACUCGCUCUCCUGGGGUGACUUUCUUUCCUGCCCAAUAUGGUUUCAUCAUCUGUAAAUUGGGGAUAAUUGAAGUCUUGAUCCUGAUAUUGGGCUCUGAAAGCAGAAGUAGCAAGCUCAGCCAAGUCACUUCAACAAGAGGAGACGUUCCUUGUGAACCAAAAGGGCACUGGUCACAAGGGCCGCUCCUUCUCUCAGGCCUCUCCAGCACGCCCUUGGCUCAGCCAAAGAAGAGACUCAGGCUGUGCUUCUGUGCUGUGGGGAUAACAGACGGGGUUUUGCUAUGUUGCCCCGGCUGGUCUUGAACUCCUGAGCUCAAGAGAUCCACCCACCGCAACCUCCCAAAGUGUUGGGAUUACAGGCGUGAGCCACUGCACUCAGCUUCUUUUCUAAUUUGUUUUUAUUCUGAGAUCAGAUGAGAUCGGCAUGUUCAGCUGCCCGCAGGUAACUGAAACUGCAGAGAGCAUACGGGAGACUACAGUAUCUGACAAUGGACUUGGAUCUAGAAUACAUAAAGAACUCUUACAACUUGAUAAUAAAAAGGAUAUAACCCAAUUUUAAAAUGGACAAAAGAUCUGAACAGAUAUUUCUCCAAAGAAGACAUACAAAUGGCCAAUAAGGGCCAGGUGGUGGCUUAUGCCUAUAAUCCCAACACUUUGGGAGGCCAAGGCAGGUGGAUCACUUGAGGCCAGAAGUUCAAGACCAGUCUGGCCAACAUGGCGAAAACCCAUCUCUACUAAAAAUAUAAAAAUCAGCCAGGCGUUGUGGCGCAUGCCUGUAGUCCCAGGUACUCAGGCAGAUGAGGCACAAGAAUCACUCGAACCCGGGAGGCAGAGGUUGCAAUGAGCUAAGAUUGCACCACUGCACUCCAGCCUGGGCAACAGAGCAAAACCCCACCUAAAAAUAAAUAAAUAAAUAAAAAUAAAAGAAAGAAAAUAAAUGGCCAAUAAGCACAAGAAAAUACACUCAAUUUCUGUCUUAGUCUGUUUGUGCCGCUGUAACAAAAUACCUGAGACUAAGUAAU
Molecule: long non-coding RNA, 2014 nt
Filed under: Homo sapiens (human)
Lineage: Eukaryota; Metazoa; Chordata; Mammalia; Primates; Hominidae
Description: HSALNT0389591
Source: RNAcentral